GUCUACGGGCAUGCGACCCUGAACAAACCCGAUGUCUGAUCUUAGAAGCUAAGCAGGGUCGGGCCUGGUUAGUACUUGGAUGGAUGGGAGACUUUCCACCUAGGAAGACCAGGCACUGUAGGCA
Molecule: ribosomal RNA, 124 nt
Filed under: Pteropus alecto (black flying fox)
Lineage: Eukaryota; Metazoa; Chordata; Mammalia; Chiroptera; Pteropodidae
Source: RNAcentral